RNAcentral lists this ribosomal RNA (256 nucleotides) under Hepatozoon sp. RNAcentral's name for it is "partial small subunit ribosomal RNA". The stretch from base 81 to 256 matches the Rfam family "Eukaryotic small subunit ribosomal RNA", at positions 744 to 921 of the family's 1831-position model. The record is from RNAcentral. Lineage: Eukaryota; Apicomplexa; Hepatozoidae.
UAAUAAAGGUGGUAUCUUGGUGUGUUUUUAGCAAUAAUGUCCUUUGAAAUGUUUUUUACUUUAUUGUAAAAGAGAAUUUUCAGGAUUUUUACUUUGAGAAAAUUAGAGUGUUUCAAGCAGGCUAACGUUUUGAAUACUGCAGCAUGGAAUAAUAAAAUAGGAUUUUAGUUCUACGUUAUUGGUUUUAAGAGCUAAAUUAAUGAUUGAUAGGAGCAGUUGGGGGCAUUUGUAUUUAACUGUCAGAGGUGAAAUUCUU